CAACACUCAAGCUCAGCUUGGCGUUGGGGCUAUUACAGCUUUAAUGCUGUAAAGCCCUCAAAACCAGUGGCAGGGACCACUACGGGACCCGGGCGAAGUAGAAAUUACAGCGCCUAAGGGAUACCAAGCUGGCCUCUAGCCAUAAAACAAUAUUCUCAUUUUGAGGGUAUUAUUUUUCAAG
Molecule: unclassified non-coding RNA, 181 nt
Filed under: uncultured Ascomycota
Lineage: Eukaryota; Fungi; Ascomycota
Description: sequence contains ITS2
Source: RNAcentral